Molecule: transfer RNA, 90 nt
Filed under: Rhodospirillales bacterium
Lineage: Bacteria; Pseudomonadati; Pseudomonadota; Alphaproteobacteria; Rhodospirillales
Description: tRNA-Ser
Rfam family: tRNA
About the family: Transfer RNA (tRNA) molecules are approximately 80 nucleotides in length. Their secondary structure includes four short double-helical elements and three loops (D, anti-codon, and T loops). Further hydrogen bonds mediate the characteristic L-shaped molecular structure. tRNAs have two regions of fundamental functional importance: the anti-codon, which is responsible for specific mRNA codon recognition, and the 3' end, to which the tRNAs corresponding amino acid is attached (by aminoacyl-tRNA synthetases). tRNAs cope with the degeneracy of the genetic code in two manners: having more than one tRNA (with a specific anti-codon) for a particular amino acid; and 'wobble' base-pairing, i.e. permitting non-standard base-pairing at the 3rd anti-codon position.
Source: RNAcentral
GGAGAGGUGCCAGAGUGGUCGAAUGGGGCGGUCUCGAAAACCGUUGUGGGAGCAAUCUUACCGAGUGUUCGAAUCCCUCCCUCUCCGCCA